RNAcentral lists this ribosomal RNA (230 nucleotides) under uncultured bacterium. RNAcentral describes it as "partial 16S ribosomal RNA". It matches the Rfam family "Bacterial small subunit ribosomal RNA", at positions 111 to 334 of the family's 1533-position model. The record is from RNAcentral.
UAAUACAUAAGUAACCUGCCCUAGACAGGGGGAUAACUAUUGGAAACGAUAGCUAAGACCGCAUAGGUACGGACACUGCAUGGUGACCGUAUUAAAAGUGCCUCAAAGCACUGGUAGAGGAUGGACUUAUGGCGCAUUAGCUGGUUGGCGGGGUAACGGCCCACCAAGGCGACGAUGCGUAGCCGACCUGAGAGGGUGACCGGCCACGCUGGGACUGAGACACGGCCCAG